RNAcentral lists this ribosomal RNA (307 nucleotides) under uncultured eukaryote. RNAcentral describes it as "partial 18S ribosomal RNA". It matches the Rfam family "Eukaryotic small subunit ribosomal RNA", at positions 1470 to 1796 of the family's 1831-position model. The record is from RNAcentral.
CCCUUAGACGUUCUGGGCCGCACGCGCGCUACACUGACACAGGCAACGAGCUUUCCUUUACCGAAAGGUAUGGGUAAUCUUUUGAAACUGUGUCGUGCUGGGGAUAGAUCCUUGCAAUUUUUGAUCUUAAACGAGGAAUUCCUAGUAAGCGCGAGUCAUCAACUCGCGUUGAUUACGUCCCUGCCCUUUGUACACACCGCCCGUCGCUACUACCGAUUGAAUGGCUUAGUGAGGCCUCAGGAUCCGCGCUUAAUGUGUGGAGAAUUUGAACAAACUACGUCAUUUAGAGGAAGUAAAAGUCGUAACA